This 305-nucleotide ribosomal RNA is filed under the name uncultured bacterium. Its description in RNAcentral is "bacterial SSU rRNA". It matches the Rfam family "Bacterial small subunit ribosomal RNA", at positions 335 to 637 of the family's 1533-position model. The record is from RNAcentral.
UUCCUUGCGGGGGGCAGCAGUGAGGAAUAUUGGUCAAUGGGCGGGAGCCUGAACCAGCCAAGUCGCGUGAGGGAAGACGGUCCUAUGGAUUGUAAACCUCUUUAGGCGGGGAGCAAUGCCGGGCACGUGUGCCCGGAGGGAGAGUACCCGCAGAAUAAGCAUCGGCUAACUCCGUGCCAGCAGCCGCGGUAAUACGGAGGAUGCGAGCGUUAUCCGGAUUUAUUGGGGUUAAAGGGUGCGUAGGCGGAUUUUUAAGUCAGCGGUAAAAUGUCCGGGCUCAACACGGUCCGGCCGUUGAAAUUGGG